This is a long non-coding RNA of Papio anubis (olive baboon), 2391 nucleotides long. The record is from Ensembl. Lineage: Eukaryota; Metazoa; Chordata; Mammalia; Primates; Cercopithecidae.
GAUGGAAAACACAGGCCAGAAAUGAAAAUAGUGUUUUCCUUCCAUUGCAGAUCUGAAAUCUGUGUUUUCUAGGCCAGCAUGUACAGCUGACUUAUUUGUAAGCUCAUUUGCGUUGUUGAAAUCCCAGUGUAACUAUGGUCUUAAAGAGAGAUUUCCACCCCUAAUUAGAGUUAAUAGUCCACAAGGAAUUGAUGACCUUAGUUUUCAUUAGAUUGCAAAGUUUAUUUGUAGUGAAAGAAGAACUAAUGAUACAUCUUUUUGACAUUAAUGUAUAAAAUUUUGUUUAUUUUUUUUAAAGUGUGAUUAUUUUUAGGACACUGAAAGAAACCAUCAUAUUGUAUGUCCUCUAGGGAAACGCUAAUGACAUGAAGCAAGCAAGAGACAAAGAAUUGUUGCCACCUGGUUGAAAUUUUUUCCAUGUAGUCAAUUAUUUAACAGAAAGAUUUCUCUUUUGCUUCUUAAACUUGUCUGAAGUCAGUUGUCUUUGCUUCCCUUGGCUAUCUGGCUCAGACUGAGAAACCAGCCCAUUGCAAAAGAGUCUUCAAAACAAUGUCAGGGUGAAAAUUAGUCAAAUGAUGAAGAGACACAAAGGGACGAAAUCCUUCUCAUGUCAAGGCUUAUAACUCAUGGCUGUGGGAAAGUUUAACUUUUCUAAUUUUAAUGUUUACGCUGCAUUUUUAGAUAGAAUGUCAGCAGGAGUAUGUCCAGAGGAUUUGGCGAGAGGAUCAUCUGGACAAUAGCAAUACAUUUGGACUUCCCCUUAAUAUAGUUUGCAAACAACUUAUUUCCAUCAACAAUAGCUGCCCGGCUUCAAAAAAUGUUUAUCUGCUGGAGUUCCACCCUUCCCUCAGCCUGGUAGCGCUUAUCCCCAAAGCCCUAGAGCAUCUCUUCCAAGAGGCCUGCCAUGCCUACAGACCCACAUCAGCCAUUGGCCUCGCCUCCCUGGAGUGACAUGUCCUGCAGCUGACCUGGGCCUGUGGCUCACCCCAGCCACGCCUGAGGCCUGCUACAGUGCACAGCUCCAGAAAGAUGUACGUUCUUUUUGAAGGGGAUAGUUGGGUCCUUGGCAGGGAGAAUUUUUUUUUUCCAGAUGUUACUGUUUAGCUUUGUUUUUCUGUUUGGCUCUAUUCCCCCAUUAUUUGGCUAGAGACAGAGCUCAGUCAUAAGCCUUGCCAAUAGUUUUAUGUGAUUUUUUGGGGGAUGGGGUCAAAGUUUCUCAUUUGUAAAGAUACUGCUACAAUUAAAAUUUAAAAGGUGAUAUAUGUGGGUAUGUGGGAAAUGUUUUCUGGUUUAUUAUUUAUAUUUUAACAAAUACAUUUUAAUUAAAACUGUUAUAUUUUCUUUCCACUAAGACACUUCCUAAAUGUGUUCUUUUUGUCAAGAUCCGGCAGAAGACAGAAAGCAUUGAUCAGAAUUCAAGUUCAGUCCUGCCAUUCACUUGCUGUGUGACUCUGAGCAUGUCUCUUAGCCUCUCUGACCUCACUUUACUGUUUCUGUAAAAGUAUGUUUGUGUACUUGGUAGGGGAGGUAGGCGGAGGUGAGCUUGAUGACCUCUGAAGCCCCUCUCAGCUCUACUGCUCCAUGGUUCAAAUUGUGGGUUAAUGAUUUACAUGGUGUUUGUAGUUGGAUUUUAAUCCUUUUCUUUUUCUGUUAAGGCUGUCAAGGUUACCCCUGGGUUUCCAAUUUGACCUCAUUCUGUGUGCAUACUUGCUAUAUGACAAAGAAACUUUCAUAGGCCCCCCACUGCCCAAACUGUCUGCUCCAUAGGUCUGCCUUGGCCUCCUAUCCCCUCUUGACUAAAGUAAAAAUUGAUUUUAUUUUACAGUGACCAAAAUAACAUAAAAUCACAGAGAAUUCUAGCAAAAGCAGAAAGAACAAAAUUGAAUUUAAACAUUACCAAUCUAAUGCAUUCAUAUCAUUAUUUUUCUGAAUUUAAGUAUUGUUAAUAUGUGUGUUGUACAUAGCCAUAAUCAUAGUUUUUGUCCAUUGUUAUUUCCUCCUCUUCUCAGUUAACAUUAUACUACAUAUUUUUCCAUAAUGCUAACUCGUCUUAGACUUACCUUUAUGACCACAUAUAAUUCCCAUAUCUGAUGAAUAAAAACUUCUCUAAUCAUUUCUCUAUUGAUGGACAUUCAAGUGGUUUCCAAUUUUUCAUUAUCAUGAAAAAUGCUAUAAGAUAUAUAUUUUUACAUAAAGAUUUUUCCAUAUUUUGAAUUGAUUCCUUUUGAUAGGUUCUUGGAAACAGAAUUACUAAAAUAAAAUUUAAAUAUUUGGAUACAUAUUAGCAGAUUGCUUUCCAAAGAGUUGUGCCAAUUUAUAAUGACACUCAUGUAUUUUAAGAGUACCAGUUCUGCUAUACUGUGUAGUAUUAGGCAAAAGCAUGUGAUGUAU